GAUCAUGGCUCAGGACGAACGCUGGCGGCACGCUUAACACAUGCAAGUCGAACGAGAGAAGAGAAGUCUUGCUUUUCUGAUCUAGUGGCGGACGGGUGAGUAACACGUGAGCAAUCUGCCUUUCAGAGGGGGAUACCGAUUGGAAACGAUCGUUAAUACCGCAUAAUAUAAUUGAACCGCAUGGAUUUGAUUAUCAAAGAUUUAUCGCUGAAAGAUGAGCUCGCGU
RNAcentral lists this ribosomal RNA (226 nucleotides) under uncultured bacterium. RNAcentral describes it as "partial 16S ribosomal RNA". It matches the Rfam family "Bacterial small subunit ribosomal RNA", at positions 15 to 236 of the family's 1533-position model. The record is from RNAcentral.